RNAcentral lists this ribosomal RNA (770 nucleotides) under uncultured Peredibacter sp. Its description in RNAcentral is "bacterial SSU rRNA". It matches the Rfam family "Bacterial small subunit ribosomal RNA", at positions 666 to 1434 of the family's 1533-position model. The record is from RNAcentral. Lineage: Bacteria; Pseudomonadati; Bdellovibrionota; Bacteriovoracia; Bacteriovoracales; Bacteriovoracaceae.
AUUUCACGUGUAGGGGUAAAAUCCGUAGAGAUGUGAAGGAACACCGGGGGCGAAGGCGCCUGCCUGGACGACUAUUGACGCUGAGGCGCGAAAGCGUGGGGAGCAAACAGGAUUAGAUACCCUGGUAGUCCACGCCGUAAACGAUGAGUACUAGCUAUUGGGGGUAUUGACUCCUUCGGUGGCGCAGCUAACGCAUUAAGUACUCCGCCUGGGAAGUACGGUCGCAAGACUAAAACUCAAAGGAAUUGACGGGGUCCCGCACAAGCGGUGGAUUAUGUGGUUUAAUUCGAAGCAACGCGCAGAACCUUACCUAGGCUUGAAAUCCUUCGAAUCCCGAGUAAUUUUGGGAGUGCCCGCAAGGGAAUGAAGUGACAGGUGCUGCAUGGCUGUCGUCAGCUCGUGUUGUGAAAUGUUGGGUUAAGUCUCGCAACGAGCGCAACCCCUAUCUUUAGUUGCCAGCAUUAAGUUGGGCACUCUAGAGAGACUGCCCGGGUUAACCGGGAGGAAGGUGGGGAUGACGUCAAGUCCUCAUGGCCCUUAUGCCUAGGGCUACACACGUAAUACAAUGGUUGGUACAGAGGGAAGCGACCCAGCGAUGGUGAGCAAAUCUCAAAAAGCCAAUCUCAGUCCGGAUUGGAGUCUGCAACUCGACUCCAUGAAGUUGGAAUCGCUAGUAAUCGCGGAUCAGCACGCCGCGGUGAAUACGUUCCCGGGCCUUGUACACACCGCCCGUCACACCAUGGGAGUUGUUUUCAUUUUAAGACGUGACU